Molecule: non-coding RNA, 105 nt
Organism: Acanthosepion pharaonis
Lineage: Eukaryota; Metazoa; Mollusca; Cephalopoda; Sepiida; Sepiidae
Source: the annotation of a GenBank genome assembly
AUGGUAAAAUCAUGCUUAAAACACUGGUUCCUGUUCAAUCACCAGAGUUAAGCAGCAUUGAGCCCGAUCAGUACUUAGUUAGGAGACUGCUUGAGAACACCAGGU